RNAcentral lists this ribosomal RNA (1371 nucleotides) under uncultured bacterium. RNAcentral's name for it is "bacterial SSU rRNA". It matches the Rfam family "Bacterial small subunit ribosomal RNA", at positions 28 to 1381 of the family's 1533-position model. The record is from RNAcentral.
GAUGAACGCUGGCGGCGUGCCUAAUACAUGCAAGUCGAGCGAACGGACGAGAAGCUUGCUUCUCUGAUGUUAGCGGCGGACGGGUGAGUAACACGUGGAUAACCUACCUAUAAGACUGGGAUAACUUCGGGAAACCGGAGCUAAUACCGGAUGAUAUUUUGAACCGCAUGGUUCAAAAGUGAAAGACGGUCUUGCUGUCACUUAUAGAUGGAUCCGCGCUGCAUUAGCUAGUUGGUAAGGUAACGGCUUACCAAGGCAACGAUGCAUAGCCGACCUGAGAGGGUGAUCGGCCACACUGGAACUGAGACACGGUCCAGACUCCUACGGGAGGCAGCAGUAGGGAAUCUUCCGCAAUGGGCGAAAGCCUGACGGAGCAACGCCGCGUGAGUGAUGAAGGUCUUCGGAUCGUAAAACUCUGUUAUUAGGGAAGAACAUAUGUGUAAGUAACUGUGCACAUCUUGACGGUACCUAAUCAGAAAGCCACGGCUAACUACGUGCCAGCAGCCGCGGUAAUACGUAGGUGGCAAGCGUUAUCCGGAAUUAUUGGGCGUAAAGCGCGCGUAGGCGGUUUUUUAGUCUGAUGUGAAAGCCCACGGCUCAACCGUGGAGGGUCAUUGGAAACUGGAAAACUUGAGUGCAGAAGAGGAAAGUGGAAUUCCAUGUGUAGCGGUGAAAUGCGCAGAGAUAUGGAGGAACACCAGUGGCGAAGGCGACUUUCUGGUCUGUAACUGACGCUGAUGUGCGAAAGCGUGGGGAUCAAACAGGAUUAGAUACCCUGGUAGUCCACGCCGUAAACGAUGAGUGCUAAGUGUUAGGGGGUUUCCGCCCCUUAGUGCUGCAGCUAACGCAUUAAGCACUCCGCCUGGGGAGUACGACCGCAAGGUUGAAACUCAAAGGAAUUGACGGGGACCCGCACAAGCGGUGGAGCAUGUGGUUUAAUUUGAAGCAACGCGAAGAACCUUACCAAAUCUUGACAUCCUUUGACAACUCUAGAGAUAGAGCCUUCCCCUUCGGGGGACAAAGUGACAGGUGGUGCAUGGUUGUCGUCAGCUUGUGUCGUGAGAUGUUGGGUUAAGUCCCGCAACGAGCGCAACCCUUAAGCUUAGUUGCCAUCAUUAAGUUGGGCACUCUAAGUUGACUGCCGGUGACAAACCGGAGGAAGGUGGGGAUGACGUCAAAUCAUCAUGCCCCUUAUGAUUUGGGCUACACACGUGCUACAAUGGACAAUACAAAGGGCAGCGAAACCGCGAGGUCAAGCAAAUCCCAUAAAGUUGUUCUCAGUUCGGAUUGUAGUCUGCAACUCGACUACAUGAAGCUGGAAUCGCUAGUAAUCGUAGAUCAGCAUGCUACGGUGAAUACGUUCCCGGGUCU